CCUAGAGUUGUAGGCUUUGCCUGCUAUCUCUUACCAUGUCUUUUGAGUACCUUCGUUUCCUCGGCGGGUCCGCCCGCCGAUUGGACAAUUUAAACCAUUUGCAGUUGCAGUCAGCGUCUGAAAAAACUUAAUAGUUA
RNAcentral lists this unclassified non-coding RNA (137 nucleotides) under soil metagenome. RNAcentral describes it as "partial internal transcribed spacer 1". The record is from RNAcentral.